UACAGAGGGUGCGAGCGUUAAUCGGAAUUACUGGGCGUAAAGCGCACGUAGGCGGCUUGGUAUGUCGGGUGUGAAAUCCCUCGGCUUAACCGAGGACGUGCAUCCGAAACUGUGAGGCUUGAGUAUGGAAGAGGGUCGCAGAAUUCCCGGUGUAGCAGUGAAAUGCGUAGAUAUCAGGAGGAAUACCGAUGGCGAAGGCAGGUCUCUGGGCUAACACUGACGCUCAUGCACGAAAGCGUGGGGAGCAAACAGG
RNAcentral lists this ribosomal RNA (253 nucleotides) under uncultured bacterium. Its description in RNAcentral is "partial 16S ribosomal RNA". It matches the Rfam family "Bacterial small subunit ribosomal RNA", at positions 524 to 776 of the family's 1533-position model. The record is from RNAcentral.